UACGUAGGGUGCGAGCGUUAAUCGGAAUUACUGGGCGUAAAGCGUGCGCAGGCGGCUAUGCAAGACAGAUGUGAAAUCCCCGGGCUCAACCUGGGAACUGCAUUUGUGACUGCAUGGCUAGAGUGCGGCAGAGGGGGAUGGAAUUCCGCGUGUAGCAGUGAAAUGCGUAGAUAUGCGGAGGAACACCGAUGGCGAAGGCAAUCCCCUGGGCCUGCACUGACGCUCAUGCACGAAAGCGUGGGGAGCAAACAGG
Molecule: ribosomal RNA, 253 nt
Filed under: uncultured bacterium
Lineage: Bacteria
Description: partial 16S ribosomal RNA
Rfam family: Bacterial small subunit ribosomal RNA
Source: RNAcentral